UACAGAGGUCUCGAGCGUUGUUCGGAUUCAUUGGGCGUAAAGGGCGCGUAGGCGGCGGGGUAAGUCUGGUGUGAAAUCUCGGAGCUCAACUCCGAAACUGCACUCGAUACUGCCGUGCUUGAGGACUGGAGAGGAGACUGGAAUUUACGGUGUAGCGGUGAAAUGCGUAGAUAUCGUAAGGAAGACCAGUGGCGAAGGCGGGUCUCUGGACAGUUCCUGACGCUGAGGCACGAAGGCCAGGGGAGCAAACGGG
Molecule: ribosomal RNA, 253 nt
Filed under: uncultured bacterium
Lineage: Bacteria
Description: partial 16S ribosomal RNA
Rfam family: Bacterial small subunit ribosomal RNA
Source: RNAcentral